AUGCGAAGGUCCCAGCAGAGGGGCGAGUAACUCUUGUUGUUGAGGCCUCUCUAACCAUGAACUUUGAUACCCUUCGCAUACUUAAUCGCCGAAUCGUAGGAUGCCCAAACUUUUUUUGAUUUUUGGUGCAUCUGGAACCCUCGGCUAUAUCCUA
Small nucleolar RNA from Abrus precatorius (Indian licorice), 154 nucleotides. RefSeq annotates it as small nucleolar RNA snoR145. The record is from RefSeq and is a predicted model, not a curated record. The transcript has a single exon. Lineage: Eukaryota; Viridiplantae; Streptophyta; Magnoliopsida; Fabales; Fabaceae.